RNAcentral lists this ribosomal RNA (265 nucleotides) under uncultured prokaryote. Its description in RNAcentral is "partial 16S ribosomal RNA". It matches the Rfam family "Bacterial small subunit ribosomal RNA", at positions 524 to 788 of the family's 1533-position model. The record is from RNAcentral.
GACGUAGGGCGCAAGCGUUGUCCGGAUUUAUUGGGCGUAAAGGGCUCGUAGGCGGCUUGUCGCGUCUGUCGUGAAAGCUCAGGGCUUAACUCUGAGUUUGCGGUGGAUACGGGCAGGCUUGAGGCAAGUAGGGGAGAACGGAAUUCCAUGUGUAGCGGUGAAAUGCGCAGAUAUGUGGAGGAACACCGGCGGCGAAGGCGGCGCUCUGGGCCGGAACUGACGCUGAGGAGCGAAAGCGUGGGUAGCAAACAGGAUUAGAUACCCU